This is a long non-coding RNA of Ictalurus punctatus (channel catfish), 334 nucleotides long. NCBI's taxonomy places the organism in Eukaryota, Metazoa, Chordata, Actinopteri, Siluriformes, Ictaluridae. The record is from Ensembl.
CUGAAGUGUAAGGAAUGUUGGAGUGUAAGGAAUACUGUAGUGUAAGGAAUGUUGAAGUGUAAGGAAUGUUGGAGUGUAAGGAAUACUGUAGUGUAAGGAAUGUUGAAGUGUAAGGAAUGUUGAAGUGUAAGGAAUACUGAAGUGUAAGGAAUACUGAUGUGUAAGGAAUACUGAAGUGUAAGGAAUGUUGGAGUGUAAGGAAUACUGUAGUGUAAGGAAUGUUGAAGUGUAAGGAAUGUUGGAGUGUAAGGAAUGUUGGAGUGUAAGGAAUGUUGGGUUGUAAGGAAUGUUGGAGUGUAAGGAAUGUUGAAGUGUAAGGAAUACUGAAGUGUAA